RNAcentral lists this ribosomal RNA (518 nucleotides) under uncultured bacterium. RNAcentral describes it as "partial 16S ribosomal RNA". It matches the Rfam family "Bacterial small subunit ribosomal RNA", at positions 28 to 507 of the family's 1533-position model. The record is from RNAcentral.
GACGAACGCUGGCGGCGUGCCUAAUACAUGCAAGUCGAGCGAGCUUGCCUAGAUGAUUUUAGUGCUUGCACUAAAUGAAACUAGAUACAAGCGAGCGGCGGACGGGUGAGUAACACGUGGGUAACCUGCCCAAGAGACUGGGAUAACACCUGGAAACAGAUGCUAUACCGGAUAACAACACUAGACGCAUGUCUAGAGUUUGAAAGAUGGUUCUGCUAUCACUCUUGGAUGGACCUGCGGUGCAUUAGCUAGUUGGUAAGGUAACGGCUUACCAAGGCAAUGAUGCAUAGCCGAGUUGAGAGACUGAUCGGCCACAUUGGGACUGAGACACGGCCCAAACUCCUACGGGAGGCAGCAGUAGGGAAUCUUCCACAAUGGACGAAAGUCUGAUGGAGCAACGCCGCGUGAGUGAAGAAGGGUUUCGGCUCGUAAAGCUCUGUUGGUAGUGAAGAAAGAUAGAGGUAGUAACUGGCCUUUAUUUGACGGUAAUUACUUAGAAAGUCACGGCUAACUACGUG